Molecule: transfer RNA, 74 nt
Filed under: Geukensia demissa (ribbed mussel)
Lineage: Eukaryota; Metazoa; Mollusca; Bivalvia; Mytilida; Mytilidae
Description: tRNA-Trp
Rfam family: tRNA
About the family: Transfer RNA (tRNA) molecules are approximately 80 nucleotides in length.
Source: RNAcentral
AAAAAUGUAAUUUAUAGUUAAAAUGUUAGGCUUCAAACCUAAAUAUAAGAAAGUUUUAUAAUUCUUCGUUUUUG